Molecule: small RNA, 285 nt
Filed under: Pongo abelii (Sumatran orangutan)
Lineage: Eukaryota; Metazoa; Chordata; Mammalia; Primates; Hominidae
Description: processed transcript
Source: RNAcentral
UUGCCCUGUUGGAUGAGUAGGCACCUCUGGAAGAGCCAACUGUGUGAGAUGGUGCAGCCUAGUGGUGGCCCGGCAGCAGAUCAGGACGUGCUGGGUGAAGACUCUCCUCUGGGGAAGCCAGCCAUGCUGCACCUGCCUUCAGAACAGGGCGCUCCUGAGACCCUCCAGCGCUGCCUGGAGGAGAAUCAAGAGCUCCGAGGGAAUGCAGCUGGAAGAUCUCAAACAGCAGCUCCAGCAGGCCGAGGAGGCCCUGGUGGCCAAACAGGAGGUGAUCGAUAAGCUGAA